GAUGAACGCUGGCGGCGUGCCUAAUACAUGCAAGUCGAGCGAACGGACGAGAAGCUUGCUUCUCUGAUGUUAGCGGCGGACGGGUGAGUAACACGUGGAUAACCUACCUAUAAGACUGGGAUAACUUCGGGAAACCGGAGCUAAUACCGGAUGAUAUUUUGAACCGCAUGGUUCAAAAGUGAAAGACGGUCUUGCUGUCACUUAUAGAUGGAUCCGCGCUGCAUUAGCUAGUUGGUAAGGUAACGGCUUACCAAGGCAACGAUGCAUAGCCGACCUGAGAGGGUGAUCGGACACACUGGAACUGAGACACGGUCCAGACUCCUACGGGAGGCAGCAGUAGGGAAUCUUCCGCAAUGGGCGGAAGCCUGACGGAGCCACGCCGCGUGAGUGAUGAAGGUCUUCGGUUCGUAAAACUCUGUUAUUAGGGAAGAACAUAUGUGUAAGUAACUGUGCACAUCUUGACGGUACCUAAUCAGAAAGCAACGGCUAACUACGUG
This 497-nucleotide ribosomal RNA is filed under the name uncultured bacterium. Its description in RNAcentral is "partial 16S ribosomal RNA". It matches the Rfam family "Bacterial small subunit ribosomal RNA", at positions 28 to 507 of the family's 1533-position model. The record is from RNAcentral.